This 1099-nucleotide ribosomal RNA is filed under the name Ahnfeltiopsis fastigiata. RNAcentral describes it as "eukaryotic LSU rRNA". It matches the Rfam family "Eukaryotic large subunit ribosomal RNA", at positions 677 to 1828 of the family's 3401-position model. Lineage: Eukaryota; Rhodophyta; Florideophyceae; Gigartinales; Phyllophoraceae. The record is from RNAcentral.
AGCGCGGGUGCGAGUCGGAGGGUGCAAGCCCGUGGGCGAAGUGAAAGCGAGUGUAAAAACGAGCAGUUUGGGGCGGCAUAAGAUCGUUGAUCUUAAGACCGACCCAGAGCAGUUGCGCUGGGACCCGAAAGAUGGUGAACUAUGCCGGAGUAGGGCAAAGCCAGAGGAAACUCUGGUGGAGGCUCGUAGCGGUGCUGACGUGCAAAUCGCUCGUCGAACUUGGGUAUAGGGGCGAAAGACUAAUCGAACCAUCUAGUAGCUGGUUCCCUCCGAAGUUUCUCUCAGGAUAGCGGGCCGACAAGUUGUUUUGUGCGGUAAAGCGAAUGAUUAGCGCAUUCGGGGGCGUUUAGCCUUCGGGCGAUUCUCAAACUUUCAAUGCGCAAGGGUGCCGUUGCUUAAUUGAACGGUACCGGUAAAAACGUCGGCCCUGUGGGCCACUUUUGGUAAGCAGAACUGGCGAUACGGGAUGAACCGUAAGCAAGGUUAAGGCGCCAAACUGCCCGCUUAUAGACCCCACAAAAGGUGUUGAUUCAUCGAGACAGCAGGACGGUGGCCAUGGAAGUCGGAAUCCGCCAAGGAGUGUGUAACAACUCACCUGCCGAAUGAAUUAGCCCUGAAAAUGGAUGGCGCUGAAGCGGGCGGCCGACACCUUGCCGUCUGAACAAGAAUUUCAGAUGAGUAGGAGGGCGUGGCGGCCGUGUCGAAGCACGCGUGCAGACGCUUGUGGAACGGCCGCUAGUGCAGAUCUUGGUGGUAGUAGCAAGUAUUCAAGCGAGAUCCUUGAAGGGCGAAGUGGGGAAGGGUUUCACGCGAACAUUGAUUGGGCGUGAGUGAGUCGUUCCUAAGCCGAGUGGCAAUUGCUAAUUAACGGCGAAAGGGAAGCGGGUUGACAUUCCCGCACACGGAUGUGGAGGCGGCGACGCAUUAUUGGGGCGAACACGCUGGCGAUGGCGCUGGGCAGAGUUGUCUUUUCUGUUUGACCGCUUGCGCACGCAGUGUGGAAUCCUCUUAUAGGGAGAAACACGCGUGUACGGGCAGAGCGCUGGGGCUUUUCCAGCGUCCAGCUCGCCAUCGACGGCCCUUGAAACUUUGCCUGCUG